CGGCUGUUGAGCUCCUUCUGUGUUCCAGUGGAACAUCUGUGUUUUACUGUGCAAAUGAGAAUGGCCAGGAUGUUACAUACAGCUGGACUGUCAGUAACAGCAUCCUGGGAGAACGGACUGUAUUCAGUAACAGUUGUAAAUAUAUAUCUUUGAAGAACAUGUCUGGAACUGUCCGCUGCUCUGUGGAGAAGAAGGGCUGCAGUGCACAGAGUGAACCUCAGAACUUUGACUGCACAGAACACCCACAUGAGACAAGACAUCCCUGGGGUGUCAUUGCUCUGAUCGUUGUCUGCGCACUGCUGCUUUGUCUGACCAUGGCUGCACUUCUGAUCUGUGUCCGAAGAAGCUACAAAACGCAUCCUCUGAGUAAGCAAAGAAUUUUGGUUUCUCUGUGUGUGUGUGCGUGUGUGUGUGUGUGUGUGUGUGUGUGUGUGUGUGUGUGUGUGUGUGUGUGUGUGUGUAACUGUGUGUCUUUGCUUACAGUAUAUCUGUAUGUUUCUGUUCUAGAUGAGAAUUCUGCACAAUCCAGUUCCUCACCGGAGGCCACCGAUCACGAGCUAGUUUUUUAUACGCAAGUCAGACUCUCACGAUGACGCCUGUGAGCUUUUAAUUGGGCAAAAUAAAUGGUUGACAUAUUUUAUGAUUUUAUCGAGG
This 654-nucleotide long non-coding RNA is filed under the name Scleropages formosus (Asian bonytongue). Its description in RNAcentral is "lncRNA (ENSSFOG00015032243.1)". The record is from RNAcentral. Lineage: Eukaryota; Metazoa; Chordata; Actinopteri; Osteoglossiformes; Osteoglossidae.